ACGGCUCAGUAACACGUGGAUAACCUGCCCUUGGGUCCGGCAUAACCCCGGGAAACUGGGGAUAAUUCCGGAUAACGCAUAUGUGCUGGAAUGCUUUAUGCGUCAAAUGGAUUCGUCUGCCCAAGGAUGGGUCUGCGGCCUAUCAGGUAGUAGUGGGUGUAAUGUACCUACUAGCCGACAACGGGUACGGGUUGUGAGAGCAAGAGCCCGGAGAUGGAUUCUGAGACAUGAAUCCAGGCCCUACGGGGCGCAGCAGGCGCGAAAACUUUACAAUGCGGGAAACCGUGAUAAGGGGACACCGAGUGUCAGCAUCAUAUGCUGGCUGUCCAGGUGUGUAAAAUACACCUGUUAGCAAGGGCCGGGCAAGACCGGUGCCAGCCGCCGCGGUAACACCGGCGGCCCGAGUGGUGAUCGUGAUUAUUGGGUCUAAAGGGUCCGUAGCCGGUUUGGUCAGUCCUCCGGGAAAUCUGAUAGCUCAACUAUUAGGCUAUCGGGGGAUACUACCAGACUUGGAACCGGGAGAGGUAAGAGGUACUACAGGGGUAGGAGUGAAAUCUUGUAAUCCCUGUGGGACCACCUGUGGCGAAGGCGUCUUACCAGAACGGGUUCGACGGUGAGGGACGAAAGCUGGGGGCACGAACCGGAUUAGAUACCCGGGUAGUCCCAGCCGUAAACGAUGCUCGCUAGGUGUCAGGCAUGGCGCGACCGUGUCUGGUGCCGCAGGGAAGCCGUGAAGCGAGCCACCUGGGAAGUACGGCCGCAAGGCUGAAACUUAAAGGAAUUGGCGGGGGAGCAC
RNAcentral lists this ribosomal RNA (796 nucleotides) under uncultured archaeon. Its description in RNAcentral is "bacterial SSU rRNA". It matches the Rfam family "Archaeal small subunit ribosomal RNA", at positions 85 to 879 of the family's 1478-position model. The record is from RNAcentral. RNAcentral also lists the same sequence under 1 other name.